UCAGGAAUAUUGCGCAAUGGAGGAAACUCUGACGCAGCGACGCCGCGUGGGUGAUGAAGGCCUUCGGGUCGUAAAGCCCUGUCGGAGGGGAAGAAAAGUUCGCUGGCUAAUAUCCAGCGGACCUUUGACGGUACCCUCAAAGGAAGCACCGGCUAACUCCGUGCCAGCAGCCGCGGUAAGACGGAGGGUGCAAGCGUUGUUCGGAUUGACUGGGCGUAAAGGGCGUGUAGGCGGUUGGUCAAGUCUGGUGUGAAAGCCCGGGGCUUAACCCCGGAAGUGCAUUGGAAACUAGCCAGCUAGAGCGCGAGAGAGGAGGGUGGAAUUCCUGGUGUAGCGGUGAAAUGCGUAGAUAUCAGGAGGAACACCGGCGGCGAAGGCGGCCCUCUGGCUCGUUGCUGACGCUGAAACGCGAAAGCGUGGGGAGCAAACAGG
RNAcentral lists this ribosomal RNA (432 nucleotides) under uncultured Syntrophobacteraceae bacterium. RNAcentral's name for it is "bacterial SSU rRNA". It matches the Rfam family "Bacterial small subunit ribosomal RNA", at positions 355 to 776 of the family's 1533-position model. Lineage: Bacteria; Pseudomonadati; Thermodesulfobacteriota; Syntrophobacteria; Syntrophobacterales; Syntrophobacteraceae. The record is from RNAcentral.